GGUUCGAUGGUGUAGUUGGUUAUCACGUCAGUCUAACAUUCUAGUUGGGUCACUGAAGGUCUCCAGUUCAAGUCUGGGUCGAAUCA
This is a non-coding RNA of Lizonia empirigonia, 86 nucleotides long. The record is from the annotation of a GenBank genome assembly. NCBI's taxonomy places the organism in Eukaryota, Fungi, Ascomycota, Dothideomycetes, Pseudoperisporiaceae.